Molecule: long non-coding RNA, 2391 nt
Organism: Capsicum annuum
Lineage: Eukaryota; Viridiplantae; Streptophyta; Magnoliopsida; Solanales; Solanaceae
Exons: 4
Source: RefSeq, a predicted model, not a curated record
AAUCAUUCUUCGCCACCGUCUCUCGAUUCAAGAGUUUUCCAAAUGCUAACUUUCAAAAUUGAAGACGAGUCUCUCAAAGAGUACAUAAACCAUAGAGUAGAAACACCCACUCGACAUUAUCAACAAAAAGAUAGAUAUGGGUCAUUGCCAUUCAAUGAAGUUGUUUUUUUACUAAAUUUUUAACCCAAUACAAGUUUCCUUCGAUGUUUUUCUGAAUCAGUCAGUAUAUCGAUUUCAGCUAUAAACAUGAACACCCAAUCGAUUAUCUUUAACCAUUUUCUUAGAUCUGAAAUAAAUCGACCGUUUGAUGAUCUUAAUUCUAUAUUGGUGUUUGAUAAUUGAGCUAUUAAACGUUUAAAUUGGCAAUUUGUUAUUCAUAUUUUAGGUGGGAAUUGUCUAAAACAAUUGGGGAUUUUAGGUUUUUCUAAUUAUUGCAGUUUUUGGGUUGGUAUUAGCGGAGAGGCAGUCAUGAAGAGUUUGUUUCGCCGCCUUCCUGUUGCAAACCCACGGGAUGGCUGGGUUGACGGUUCAUAGACUGUGGAUUGUGUCUCUGGUAUCAAUUUUGAUGAUGGGGAGGAGAUGGCCAAUUGCGAUGACUAAAGUGUCUGGGCAUAGCAGAAAUUUCAAAAACCCAUAUUCGCUUCUUCCGAAUCAGUUAGUGUCAUCGAUUAAGAUCAAUGGAUUGUCAACUCUUCUUUACGGUGUACGCUUGAUUGAUACACUUGGAAACUCACGAAAAUAACAACACUCUAAGAUUUACCAAUAAAGUAUCACAUCCGAUAUCAAUUCAAAAAUGUGGAGGGGUUAUUAGAGGUAGUAAAAUCAAGAGAUGUCAUCAUGAAAUUGCUAUAUCAUGGGGGUCUCUCAAACUAAGAUAAGGCUUAACCAACUGAUGUUUAUAAACAAGGACUAUUAGCAUUUCACAAGUAAAGAAACAGAUGAUACUGAAAGGCCAAAUAUGCUCUUAAUUGACACGACAAUGACUACUCAGUAAUGAUAAUAUGGUGCAGGAGUAGCCUAAAACUGCUAUCUUGUAUGAUCUAUACUUUCAGAUAUGUGCAACAUGUCAAUUUUUCCUUGCAACGUUGAUGUUGAAGGACCAGAAAUUUAUGAGGUGCUACAUAUUUUUGGACCUUAUGAUUAGCUUUACUGCUUCCAAGAAAUACUGGAUAAGGAAUCUUGAUGAACACCUGCAGAAUUGGAUAUAGAAAGACAUACAGUGAUUCAGUGUCUUGAAAAUCAAUCGAAAAAAGCAUAUCCAAGAUUAGCAUUUUGAUUUACUACUUUGAUAUUUAGAUAUCAUUGUUCAGCUCUAGCUCGAUCUUUCAUGUAAUGCACAUAAGUCUUGAUUAGUAAAUAGUAGAUGCAAUAAUAAGUUACGAGAAAGGAAAAGAGGGGGAAAAAGAAUGGACUGUAUUGGUUUCAACCUUCUCUUUUUCGUAUUGACUAUUUCUGCUAACUUUUGAUUCCAUGGGAUUCGUAUUUAUGCGGGUGGUGUUGGUGUACUUCGAAAACUCCAACACGAAAGUAAAGAAGAGAGGAAAUAUUUCAUAAUUUAAUUGAAUUAGAAUAUUCCUCUUUAUUUAAUUUAAAUUUCUGUGUCACGUCAGCAGACAAUUGAUCUCUUUCAAUAGUUCAUUUUGGCAAGAGGUCAAUAUGGUAUUGAUGCUGAGGAUUGUUAGAAAUUUCAGACACAUCUUUAACCUUGUUGUACUGUUAGCAGAUAGAUGAGACACUCAGUUCAUUCAGCUUGUGUUGCGGCAUUAAAUCAGUGGAUUAUGGAUAUUAUGCAUUUUGUAGGAUUCGUUUCUGGGGAUUGCCUUCAAGCAUUGUUUUUCAAAUUUUAUUUUAAUGAUUUAUUGAAAUUUCUUGAUGACUAAUCACUGACAGUUUGUGUGUUUCAAUCCAAUCAGUGUUAUGUUUCUCCAAAUUCUAUUUUUUCAUUCUUUUGGUUAGAAACUGCUGUAUGUCAUUGCCAAAUGACUUAAAACAUAUCCCACAAUUGAAGAUAGCAUGAAAAUGUAAAAUGUUGGACUUGUGCGAGCACAGACAAUAACCAUCUAGUAACAUAUAUAUUAGUGGAAGCUAUGUACGACGAAGGGCAGUGGCGUAAUUCACCAAAGGGUAGUUGUGUAAUUAACAUGUAACUCAUUGGCUCUUCCCCAUCCACCUGUUAACAUUUUCAACCGUACAUUAAAAGUUCUUGAAUCUUCCCAAUUUUACUUUAUUUCCCCAAAAUUGUACCUCCUCAUCCUCCUCUCAAAAUCUGUCCACAGCAACAAACAUCCUUCACAAUCUUUUCGGUUGUUGAAAAAAAAAAGUUAUCAGUUUGUACCAAUUUGUGCCUUGCUGGUUAUUGUUCUUAUAUGUGAUCGAUCAUCUUCACUUUGG